Molecule: ribosomal RNA, 587 nt
Filed under: uncultured bacterium
Lineage: Bacteria
Description: partial 16S ribosomal RNA
Rfam family: Bacterial small subunit ribosomal RNA
Source: RNAcentral
UGGGGAAUAUUGGACAAUGGGCGCAAGCCUGAUCCAGCAAUGCCGCGUGUGUGAAGAAGGCCUUCGGGUUGUAAAGCACUUUUAUCAGGAGCGAAACGCUGUCGGCUAAUACCCGGCGGAACUGACGGUACCUGAGGAAUAAGCACCGGCUAACUUCGUGCCAGCAGCCGCGGUAAUACGAAGGGUGCAAGCGUUAAUCGGAAUUACUGGGCGUAAAGCGUGCGUAGGCGGUUUCUUAAGUCUGCUGUGAAAUCCCCGGGCUCAACCUGGGAAUGGCAGUGGAUACUGGGAGGCUAGAGUGUGUCAGAGGGUGGUGGAAUUCCCGGUGUAGCGGUGAAAUGCGUAGAGAUCGGGAGGAACAUCAGUGGCGAAGGCGGCCACCUGGGACAACACUGACGCUGAGGCACGAAAGUGUGGGGAGCAAACAGGAUUAGAUACCCUGGUAGUCCACGCCCUAAAACGAUGCGAACUGGAUGUUGGUCUCAACUCGGAGAUCAGUGUCGAAGCUAACGCGUUAAGUUCGCCGCCUGGGGAGUACGGUCGCAAGACUGAAACUCAAAUGAAUUGACGGGGUCAUAGCUGUUUCC